ACUCCGUGCAACCCCAUAGACAGCAGCCCACCAGGCUCCACCGCCGUCUCUGGGAUUCCCCAGCAGAUUUCCAGCCACUGUGAGGAUGGUAAGCGACAUUCCGCUCAUGCUGAGCGGCUGCCUGGAGUCUUGUGCUGAGGAUCGAGAAGCAGGUCCCAGGGAGCGCAAUGCAGUCUGAACCUGGCUUUCACUGGUGAGCACGGGCUAAGUGGGGCCCACCUACCACUUGUUUGUCAUCCUUAACCUCCCACGUUGUCAGUUUGUGGAAAAUGCACUAGUGCAAAGACCUUACCAUAAAUUCCAACUUGAAUGAAAUAAAAUACAAGGCAUGAACAAGGCUUUUGUGACCAGCUUUACAUGGAGCUGCCAACUGCUGUUGCAACCUCUGCAAACUUACAGAUUCUAAUACUUGUCCAUCUUGAAAUUGUUAUUUGUGACUUCAAGAAAUGCAUUUGUUUAAUUUUGACCCCCCUAAAACACACUCACAGAAUGGAAGUUUAUUUUAUUUAAAAAUCUAGGAAUUUCAGGGCAUUUAUACUCUGCUUUUUAAACAUAUUGUAGAGUUUCCUUACUAACUUGUCUACUGAAAUCCUUAAACUUUAAACAAUUCUUUGUUGACUUGGUUUAGAUAUGUCAAAGGGCCAUUUCUUUGCCCACUUUUUGACGCAAAUAAAAUAAAUUCCACAAUACCUGCAACAUAAAAAGCUUA
Bubalus bubalis (water buffalo) is the source of this 709-nucleotide long non-coding RNA. RefSeq lists it as uncharacterized. The record is from RefSeq and is a predicted model, not a curated record. NCBI's taxonomy places the organism in Eukaryota, Metazoa, Chordata, Mammalia, Artiodactyla, Bovidae. The transcript has 2 exons.